RNAcentral lists this unclassified non-coding RNA (534 nucleotides) under Hevea brasiliensis (rubber tree). The record is from RNAcentral. Lineage: Eukaryota; Viridiplantae; Streptophyta; Magnoliopsida; Malpighiales; Euphorbiaceae.
GCCAUGAAACCAGCCAUGGGCUUUAAAACCCAGUUAUAAUCGGAGACAUACAUGUCUGAAUGUGAGCUAUGUCUAAAUGAAAUACAUGUUUGCAUUAACACAUAAUACAUAACUACUACACUCCAGCAAGGGUUGUCUUAACAAUGGAGGUUACAGGGUUAUCAUAGAUGAUGUUUGAUUCCCUUGUGGAAUCAGUAAUCCAACAGCCCAACCACUGAUGUGAGACCACCGCUGCUUAAGUUCAUCGAGUUCCGCUGCCCGGAUGUGAGACCGCUCAUCGAGUUCUGCUGCCCCGAUGUGAGACCGCUGCUUAAGUUCAUCAAGUUCUGCUGCAGAUCAACCCCUGAUGUGAUCCCACUGCUUAGGUUCAUCGAGUUCUGCUGCAGAUCAAGCCCUUCUUUUCCCAUUUGUAGCACUUGUUGCGGCGAGAGUAUCUUUAUGCACCAUACAUUAUUUACAAACUCCUGCCAGGGAUCAUCGCCGACGAGAAGAACAUCGUCCUCCCGGUCGACGAAUACAAGCUGCCAGCCUGAU